Pimephales promelas (fathead minnow) is the source of this 1037-nucleotide non-coding RNA. The record is from the annotation of a RefSeq genome assembly. Lineage: Eukaryota; Metazoa; Chordata; Actinopteri; Cypriniformes; Leuciscidae.
AUACUUUCUGAACACACUCAUGAUUCAUGAUCUUACUUUAGUGAUGGCGCUUCAUCUAGUGGAAGUGUAGCAGUGAUGAUGGUCACAUGACUGAAUAUGGACACAGAGAUGGACGUUCAUCUGCACAUCCUCAGUGUCUCAGGAGUCACAAUAAACACACUAAAUAAAGUCAUGAUUGUGUAACUCUAGUGUAUAUGAGUGUGUUGUCAGCACAAGCUGUUGUAAAUCCUGCCCACUUCUUUGCAUUGUCAGCACAUGCUUCAGUGCUCUGAGAGUGUUUAUAGUGCUGUGAGUUUAACACUUCAUGACUGAGAGCAGAACACACACACUCUUCAUCAUCACACAAGACUAAACUACAACUAUGAACAACAUCUGCAUCUUCAUCUGGACUCUGACUCUCUGCAUUCAGGAAGUCUGGGGACAAGUGACAGUGACUCAGAAUCCAGCAAUAAAAUCCGUCAAACAAGGAGAAACUGUUACAAUCAGCUGUAAAACCAGUCAGCCGAUCUCUGGCUGUAAUGACUGUGUGUCCUGGUAUCAGCAGAAACCUGGAGAAGCUCCUAAACUCCUGAUUUAUUGGAUAAGAAGCCGUUAUACUGGAACUCCAUCUAGAUUCAGUGGCAGUGGAUCUGACUAUGGCAGUGAUUUUACUCUGAGCAUCAGUGGAGUCCAGACUGAAGAUACAGGAGAUUAUUACUGUCUGAGUUAUCAUGUAAUCAACAGUCAGUGUGUUCACACAGUGAUAAAGAGUCGUACAAAAACCUCUGUCAGUCAGACGUCACAGUGACUGCACUGAUACAGCUGAGAGAAACUGCAGCUGCUGAUGGAGGAUCACACACUACACAAUAUCAAUGUCUAGUUCAAAGUUUCUAAAGACUUUAAAGGUACCUGUAAUAAAAGAUUUUCUUUAUACUAAAAUACAUUUACCCAGAUAAUUGUUCAUUGACUAUUACUGCCAUUCAUGUGUGUAUCUCUCUCAAAUGCAUGACGGUAAAAACCGCAUUCUGGUUGUCUAUCUACUGUAUUACAAAACAAAU